Molecule: ribosomal RNA, 265 nt
Filed under: uncultured prokaryote
Description: partial 16S ribosomal RNA
Rfam family: Bacterial small subunit ribosomal RNA
Source: RNAcentral
UACGUAGGGGGCGAGCGUUGUCCGGAAUUAUUGGGCGUAAAGAGCGCGCAGGUGGUUGAUUAAGUCUGAUGUGAAAGCCCACGGCUUAACCGUGGAGGGUCAUUGGAAACUGGUCGACUUGAGUGCAGAAGAGGGAAGUGGAAUUCCAUGUGUAGCGGUGAAAUGCGUAGAGAUAUGGAGGAACACCAGUGGCGAAGGCGGCUUCCUGGUCUGUAACUGACACUGAGGCGCGAAAGCGUGGGGAGCAAACAGGAUUAGAUACCCG